This 29-nucleotide non-coding RNA is filed under the name Rattus norvegicus (Norway rat). The record is from RNAcentral. Lineage: Eukaryota; Metazoa; Chordata; Mammalia; Rodentia; Muridae.
UCGAAAUGUCUGACUCAGCACUGCCUUCA